RNAcentral lists this ribosomal RNA (530 nucleotides) under uncultured Glomus. Its description in RNAcentral is "SSU rRNA". It matches the Rfam family "Eukaryotic small subunit ribosomal RNA", at positions 566 to 1092 of the family's 1831-position model. The record is from RNAcentral. Lineage: Eukaryota; Fungi; Glomeromycota; Glomeromycetes; Glomerales; Glomeraceae.
ACCAGCAGCCGCGGUAAUUCCAGCUCCAAUAGCGUAUAUUAAAGUUGUUGCAGUUAAAAAGCUCGUAGUUGAAUUUCGGGGUCAGUAGAUUGGUCAUGCCUCCGGUAUGCACUGGUCUUACUGGCUCCUCCUUCCUGAUGAACCGUAAUGCCAUUAAUUUGGUGUUGCGGGGAGACUGGACUGUUACUUGAAAAAAUUAGAGUGUUUAAAGCAGGCUAACGCUUGAAUACAUUAGCAUGGAAUAAUGAAAUAGGACGUUCGAUCUUAUUUUGUUAGGUUUCUAAGAUUGACGUAAUGAUUAAUAGGGAUAGUUAGGGGGCAUUAGUAUUCAAUUGUCAGAGGUGAAAUUCUUGGAUUUAUUGAAGACUAACUACUGCGAAAGCAUUUGCCAAGGAUGUUUUCAUUAAUCAAGAACGAAAGUUAGGGGGGAUCGAAGACGAUCACGAUACCGUCGUAGUCUUAACCAUAAACUAUGCCGACUAGGGAUCGGAUGAUGUUAAUUUUUUAAUGACUCAUUCGGUCGCCUUAUG